UACGAAGGGGGCUAGCGUUGCUCGGAUUGACUGGGCGUAAAGGGCGCGUAGGCGGUUCGUACAGUUGGAUGUGAAAUUCCUGGGCUCAACCUGGGGGCUGCAUUCAAUACGUGCGGGCUUGAGUUCGGAAGAGGGUCGUGGAAUUCCCAGUGUAGAGGUGAAAUUCGUGGAUAUUGGGAAGAACACCGGUGGCGAAGGCGGCGACCUGGUCCGAUACUGACGCUGAGGCGCGAAAGCGUGGGGGG
This 245-nucleotide ribosomal RNA is filed under the name uncultured bacterium. Its description in RNAcentral is "partial 16S ribosomal RNA". It matches the Rfam family "Bacterial small subunit ribosomal RNA", at positions 524 to 768 of the family's 1533-position model. The record is from RNAcentral.